GUCUCCACGGUCAGGCCGGGGCCAAAGCCGAAGAGAACGCCCCAGUCCAUUCCCUGGCCGGUUGUGGUGUGGCCAUCCUCGGCGGAGCGUUUGCGCAUUUCGUCCAUGAUAAAGAGUACACACGCGCUUGACAUGUUGCCAUAUUCGGACAGGACAUGCCUGGUGGCGCGCAUCCGUUCCUUGUUCAGGUUUACCUUGGCCUCCACCAUGUCAAGGAUUGCUGGCCCGCCGGGGUGCGCUAUCCAGAAGACGGAGUUCCAGUCAUCGAUGCCCAAUGGCUUGAAGGCAUCCUCCAGGGCGCGCUCAAUGUUCUUGGAGAUGAGCCCAGGCACAUCCUUGAGGAGGUGGAAGGUGAGGCCAACCUCCCGGAGGUGGCCGUCGAUGGCGCCCUCCGAGUCCGGCAGAAUCGUCUGGCUCGCAGACACCAGCUCGAACAAGGGGCGCUCGACGGACAUGUCGGGUGAGUCGAGGUGGGACUCGUGCGGGCCGCGGAAGGUCACCGCGGUGAUCUCCGAGCAGACCACUAGCACGCGCGCGCCGCGGUUGUUCUCAGCGAGGUCUUUGGCCAGGCGAAGCACCGUGCCGCCGGCGAAGCAGCCC
This 600-nucleotide ribosomal RNA is filed under the name Triticum aestivum (bread wheat). RNAcentral describes it as "partial small subunit ribosomal RNA". The record is from RNAcentral. Lineage: Eukaryota; Viridiplantae; Streptophyta; Magnoliopsida; Poales; Poaceae.